GACCAGGAUAAUUAAUACCGCAUGUUCCAUAUAUAAGUAAGCUUCAUCAAGGAGGAAGGGUCGAAGGGCUUUGUUUAUUCUCCAUCACUACCAAAAGUCAUCGUUCGAUGUCGGAAGUUGCCGGAAGUCACCAAUUGUCGGCCAGAAAAGAGUGUGGAAGGAAAACUUAAAUGAACCGCAGGUCCACAAAUAAUGCUUAGUUUAGCUGACCAGAAGUGCAAUAGUUUAGCUGAUCGACCACAGAGAAUACUUUUUAAGCAAACUUUUGUUCUUAAUAAAUACAUAGGUAAAAAUAAAAGAAUAUCUAACCCAAUUUGUGCAUUUGUGAAUAAUAUUAAAGAAAUUAACUUUAA
Molecule: long non-coding RNA, 353 nt
Organism: Alnus glutinosa
Lineage: Eukaryota; Viridiplantae; Streptophyta; Magnoliopsida; Fagales; Betulaceae
Exons: 2
Source: RefSeq, a predicted model, not a curated record